CCUACGGGUGGCUGCAGUGGGGAAUAUUGCACAAUGGGGGAAACCCUGAUGCAGCGACGCCGCGUGAGUGAAGAAGUAUUUCGGUAUGUAAAGCCCUAUUAGCAGGGAAGAAAAUGACGGUACCUGAUGAAGAAGCCCCGGCUAACUCCGUGCCAGCAGCCGCGGUAAUACGGAGGGGGCAAGCGUUACCCGGAUUUACUGGGUGUAAAGGGAGCGUAGGCGGCGGAACAAGUCGGAAGUGAAAUGCCGGGGCUUAACCCCGGAACUGCUUUUGAAACUGUGCAGCUAGAGUGCAGGAGAGGUAAGUGGAAUUCCUAGUGUAGCGGUGAAAUGCGUAGAUAUUAGGAGGAACACCAGUGGCGAAGGCGGCUUACUGGACUGUAACUGACGUUGAGGCUCGAAAGCGUGGGGAGCAAACAGGAUUAGAUAUCCCAGUAGUC
This 440-nucleotide ribosomal RNA is filed under the name uncultured bacterium. RNAcentral's name for it is "partial 16S ribosomal RNA". It matches the Rfam family "Bacterial small subunit ribosomal RNA", at positions 338 to 795 of the family's 1533-position model. The record is from RNAcentral.